This 2902-nucleotide ribosomal RNA is filed under the name Escherichia coli. RNAcentral's name for it is "bacterial LSU rRNA". It matches the Rfam family "Bacterial large subunit ribosomal RNA". Lineage: Bacteria; Pseudomonadati; Pseudomonadota; Gammaproteobacteria; Enterobacterales; Enterobacteriaceae. The record is from RNAcentral.
UUAAGCGACUAAGCGUACACGGUGGAUGCCCUGGCAGUCAGAGGCGAUGAAGGACGUGCUAAUCUGCGAUAAGCGUCGGUAAGGUGAUAUGAACCGUUAUAACCGGCGAUUUCCGAAUGGGGAAACCCAGUGUGAUUCGUCACACUAUCAUUAACUGAAUCCAUAGGUUAAUGAGGCGAACCGGGGGAACUGAAACAUCUAAGUACCCCGAGGAAAAGAAAUCAACCGAGAUUCCCCCAGUAGCGGCGAGCGAACGGGGAGCAGCCCAGAGCCUGAAUCAGUGUGUGUGUUAGUGGAAGCGUCUGGAAAGGCGUGCGAUACAGGGUGACAGCCCCGUACACAAAAAUGCACAUAUUGUGAGCUCGAUGAGUAGGGCGGGACACGUGGUAUCCUGUCUGAAUAUGGGGGGACCAUCCUCCAAGGCUAAAUACUCCUGACUGACCGAUAGUGAACCAGUACCGUGAGGGAAAGGCGAAAAGAACCCCGGCGAGGGGAGUGAAAAAGAACCUGAAACCGUGUACGUACAAGCAGUGGGAGCACGCUUAGGCGUGUGACUGCGUACCUUUUGUAUAAUGGGUCAGCGACUUAUAUUCUGUAGCAAGGUUAACCGAAUAGGGGAGCCGAAGGGAAACCGAGUCUUAACUGGGCGUUAAGUUGCAGGGUAUAGACCCGAAACCCGGUGAUCUAGCCAUGGGCAGGUUGAAGGUUGGGUAACACUAACUGGAGGACCGAACCGACUAAUGUUGAAAAAUUAGCGGAUGACUUGUGGCUGGGGGUGAAAGGCCAAUCAAACCGGGAGAUAGCUGGUUCUCCCCGAAAGCUAUUUAGGUAGCGCCUCGUGAAUUCAUCUCCGGGGGUAGAGCACUGUUUCGGCAAGGGGGUCAUCCCGACUUACCAACCCGAUGCAAACUGCGAAUACCGGAGAAUGUUAUCACGGGAGACACACGGCGGGUGCUAACGUCCGUCGUGAAGAGGGAAACAACCCAGACCGCCAGCUAAGGUCCCAAAGUCAUGGUUAAGUGGGAAACGAUGUGGGAAGGCCCAGACAGCCAGGAUGUUGGCUUAGAAGCAGCCAUCAUUUAAAGAAAGCGUAAUAGCUCACUGGUCGAGUCGGCCUGCGCGGAAGAUGUAACGGGGCUAAACCAUGCACCGAAGCUGCGGCAGCGACGCUUAUGCGUUGUUGGGUAGGGGAGCGUUCUGUAAGCCUGCGAAGGUGUGCUGUGAGGCAUGCUGGAGGUAUCAGAAGUGCGAAUGCUGACAUAAGUAACGAUAAAGCGGGUGAAAAGCCCGCUCGCCGGAAGACCAAGGGUUCCUGUCCAACGUUAAUCGGGGCAGGGUGAGUCGACCCCUAAGGCGAGGCCGAAAGGCGUAGUCGAUGGGAAACAGGUUAAUAUUCCUGUACUUGGUGUUACUGCGAAGGGGGGACGGAGAAGGCUAUGUUGGCCGGGCGACGGUUGUCCCGGUUUAAGCGUGUAGGCUGGUUUUCCAGGCAAAUCCGGAAAACUAAGGCUGAGGCGUGAUGACGAGGCACUACGGUGCUGAAGCAACAAAUGCCCUGCUUCCAGGAAAAGCCUCUAAGCAUCAGGUAACAUCAAAUCGUACCCCAAACCGACACAGGUGGUCAGGUAGAGAAUACCAAGGCGCUUGAGAGAACUCGGGUGAAGGAACUAGGCAAAAUGGUGCCGUAACUUCGGGAGAAGGCACGCUGAUAUGUAGGUGAAGUCCCUCGCGGAUGGAGCUGAAAUCAGUCGAAGAUACCAGCUGGCUGCAACUGUUUAUUAAAAACACAGCACUGUGCAAACACGAAAGUGGACGUAUACGGUGUGACGCCUGCCCGGUGCCGGAAGGUUAAUUGAUGGGGUCAGCGCAAGCGAAGCUCUUGAUCGAAGCCCCGGUAAACGGCGGCCGUAACUAUAACGGUCCUAAGGUAGCGAAAUUCCUUGUCGGGUAAGUUCCGACCUGCACGAAUGGCGUAAUGAUGGCCAGGCUGUCUCCACCCGAGACUCAGUGAAAUUGAACUCGCUGUGAAGAUGCAGUGUACCCGCGGCAAGACGGAAAGACCCCGUGAACCUUUACUAUAGCUUGACACUGAACAUUGAGCCUUGAUGUGUAGGAUAGGUGGGAGGCUUUGAAGUGUGGACGCCAGUCUGCAUGGAGCCGACCUUGAAAUACCACCCUUUAAUGUUUGAUGUUCUAACGUUGACCCGUGAUCCGGGUUGCGGACAGUGUCUGGUGGGUAGUUUGACUGGGGCGGUCUCCUCCUAAAGAGUAACGGAGGAGCACGAAGGUUGGCUAAUCCUGGUCGGACAUCAGGAGGUUAGUGCAAUGGCAUAAGCCAGCUUGACUGCGAGCGUGACGGCGCGAGCAGGUGCGAAAGCAGGUCAUAGUGAUCCGGUGGUUCUGAAUGGAAGGGCCAUCGCUCAACGGAUAAAAGGUACUCCGGGGAUAACAGGCUGAUACCGCCCAAGAGUUCAUAUCGACGGCGGUGUUUGGCACCUCGAUGUCGGCUCAUCACAUCCUGGGGCUGAAGUAGGUCCCAAGGGUAUGGCUGUUCGCCAUUUAAAGUGGUACGCGAGCUGGGUUUAGAACGUCGUGAGACAGUUCGGUCCCUAUCUGCCGUGGGCGCUGGAGAACUGAGGGGGGCUGCUCCUAGUACGAGAGGACCGGAGUGGACGCAUCACUGGUGUUCGGGUUGUCAUGCCAAUGGCACUGCCCGGUAGCUAAAUGCGGAAGAGAUAAGUGCUGAAAGCAUCUAAGCACGAAACUUGCCCCGAGAUGAGUUCUCCCUGACUCCUUGAGAGUCCUGAAGGAACGUUGAAGACGACGACGUUGAUAGGCCGGGUGUGUAAGCGCAGCGAUGCGUUGAGCUAACCGGUACUAAUGAACCGUGAGGCUUAACCUU